CCUAUGAUCUUUUGGGAGGAGUAAACGAAGAGAAAAGAUGAAGAAAAUUCGGCAUAUUUGGCCACACAUUUCAAGAAUUUCGAUAACUCCCACCGAACCAAUUAAACACCCCAAUUUUUAUUCUUCCAUUUUCCCCUCUUUCUUCUUCAUUUCUUCACAUCAAUUGUUUAAUUAAGCAUCCCACCAAGAUUUUUACUUCUUUAAUUUGGUGGAUUAAAGUUAACAAACACAACCCAGGUCAGUUCUUGAGCAAAGGGAUUGUUUAGGGUGCAAAGUGGGCAUGACAAUUGAUGGUUGUUGACCAGAAUUAACACCAUAUUUGUAACAGCUUCUAGGGUUAUUAAUUUGAGUUUAUAAAGAUUGUAUUUUUCUGGGAUUAAAGCCAGAAAAUUGAGAUUAGGGGUGUUUGGAUACUGGGUUUCUGUUCUAGAGCAAAGGGAGGAUGUCUGGAGUUCAAGAUGCACUAGAAAUCAAAUUCCGGUUAAUAGACGGAUCCGAUAUCGGUCCGAAAAGCUUUCCGGCAUCUGCAAGUGUUGCAAACUUAAAAGAAAGCAUCAUUUCUCAAUGGCCUAAAGAAAAGGCGAAUGCUCCUAGGAACAUAAAAGAUUUGAAAUUAAUUAGUGCCGGAAAAAUACUGGAAAAUAAUAAAACAGUAGGAGAAUGCAGGAAUGGAUUAUGCGAUGUCCCCGAUGGAAUUACAACCAUGCAUGUUGUUGUUAGUCAACCACCCCAAGAUAAAGGAAAUAAAGAGAUGAAUAACCUGAAACAAAACAAAUGUGGGUGUGUUAUAUUAUGAGAAGCGAUAACCAACCGCGGGUCAAAAUGUUUUUAGAUGAAGAUUGUUGGUGAUAAUACUGCAUUUGAUGAAUGGCUGGACAAUGAAGAUCUUGAAUUAAUAAUAAUAAAACUCAAAGAAAAUAAAGGAUAAAUACGGAGGGAAAUACCAUACAAUUUACAGGGGCAUAUUUAUACAAUUAGUUUGUUUUUUAGUUUUGUGUUUUGUUUAUUGUAUUUGUGAAUUUUACGCGGUUUGAGUCUCUGAUGGUCUUUGUUUUCUUGCGUUCGUGUCUUGAGUGGAUAUGAUUAUGCAUUGAGGAUUAUGGUUUUCGAUCAUGGUGUCUUGAGACGAGAUUUAUGGCCUAUACAUGUUCAUGUUGUUCAA
Long non-coding RNA from Helianthus annuus (common sunflower), 1162 nucleotides. RefSeq lists it as uncharacterized. NCBI's taxonomy places the organism in Eukaryota, Viridiplantae, Streptophyta, Magnoliopsida, Asterales, Asteraceae. The transcript is spliced from 5 exons. The record is from RefSeq and is a predicted model, not a curated record.